UUCCACACUAGAUAAAAAAAAAUCGUUUGCAAUGCAUAUUACAUGUUGAAAAAGCAGCUAAGGUGAAUGAGAAGCUGCUGUGUGAAAAAAAAUAUGAAAAUAGGGAAGGUGGAUCUUGUGUUUACCCUUCAUAAAAACAUUUCUUUCUAUUCACAUUUCAUUCCCCACAGGCUAACACAUCCUCACUUCCACAAAUAGGCACAAGUCAAAGGGCAGUGAGUUUGUAAAAUUGAGUCAAAUAUACAAAACAGCAGUAUUUAAUGGCGUUUCUUUUUUCACAUCAAGUGACCCCUGCAUGGAAACCGAUCUUUUUUUUUUCCUCCGGUUUCAGGAAACUCUUGGAAGGCAAAAGCAACAUCCUGAGUUGGUGAGGAGACAGGAGAGGUGCUGACAUGCCGACAGGCAGGGGAUCCUGGGAAAAGCCACAGACAGGAAGAGCCUGACUGACUUUGACCCCUGAGGUCAAGGCUGGGGGCUCGGCAACUGAAAGAUGUUUCCAAGCCACACUCAGACUAUCAUAGAGUUUUACAGGAAAUAGCUUAGAAAUACUGUACGCUGUGAAAUGUGGGAGAUCUUUUUAUUGCUUGCUCUUUUGUUUUGCUCUCUGUGAUAUAAAAUGCAUUUUGGCCCUGAGCUAUAUUUGACUUAUUUGUUUGAGGGUUACCAUAUGUAAUUGAGUUGAGCUCUAGUCUAUUUGUUUUCUCUAUAAUGUGAAAAACUACAUUCAUAUAUAUAUAUAUAUAUACGUCAAAAUAUAUAGGGGUUUUUUUCGUCUGUGAAUUUGCAGUGACUAAUAGAAUUACAGCUAAUGGGGAAGGUGGAGGCUGGGAUAAAAGCUUAGUGUUACUACAGUGCUCCAGUUUCUGACAUGUGUUUUGAAUAUAGAGAAGUUUCUCUACUUUUUAGGCUUUGUGCCGUGGGUCCCCAAAGACCCUUUACAGUUAAAUCAAAUUGGGUGAAAGAAGAUUGUCCUUUUCUCAGUUUCACAGAAGCACCCAUAAAUCAAGGCAUCCAUCGUUUGUCACACCUCUGUCUCCCAGCUCGUUGCUCAGGCCCACCGCGUUCAACUCUGAGUUUUUACGGCACAAAUGUAUCCAUCAACCCCACCGAGUGGCCGCCAGCCGCCAAGCCGCCUCAGCGAUCGAUGGGUGCGAUGUACCCUCCCUCUCGGCCUAUGUGGAGCUCUCGCUGCGUGGGAAGGGGCCCGGUCCCCUUGGCCUCGCUCUGGAUCAAGUCCCCAUAAGGCCCCCUGACCCCGUUAGAGGCGCAUGAUGGGCGGCCCUGUCACUUCAAAUGGCUGCCCAGGUCCGGUCUGAGAGUAACCCCUCACUGUGAGUAAACCUCCACGUUAUUUCUGUUUUAUAGGCUACGGGCGGAUAACUGCGUGGAAUGGAUGUGGACAACUUAGUUAUUGUCACUCAGGGCGAGGGAGUGAAUGUCGUUACUGGGUUGCGAAUGGGAGUCGAUUGAAAGGUAUGAAAAGUUAUGUGGUGUAGUUUCGCAGUCUGAGAAAAGUACGGCACAUUUCUUACCGGUGUUAGUUCCCAGUGACGAGGGAGCCUGGCUGUCAC
Long non-coding RNA from Oreochromis niloticus (Nile tilapia), 1571 nucleotides. The record is from Ensembl. NCBI's taxonomy places the organism in Eukaryota, Metazoa, Chordata, Actinopteri, Cichliformes, Cichlidae.